AAUUUUUUUUAAAAACUGAAUUCAAGCAAAAAUUGUUUCAUCCAAUAGUGAAAAUGGAUAUUGUUUGGAUACAAGCUUCAUAGUCUGUUCUUGAUGUUAUAAAUCAGAAUACAGAUUUAACUCAUUACACUAGGGUACAAAUUUGGUGUUGAAUUUGUUACGAGUACUGAUCAUCCUAAUUCUUGUGUGGAAAUUUCAAAUCUGAAAAUAGUUAACUCCUCUUAAAAUCUCCUGGAGCCUUUCAAAUGAGUUUGCAGCGUUGUCCAAUGAAUCCUGGAAAUAUAGGGUCACAAAGUGCCAAAAGGAUUACUAUACAAUACAGAAUAUACUGACAUUUCUAAUGGAAAAAAAGAACGAUGGAAACGAAAUAAAACAUUUAAAUUGAUGAAAGAUCUUGCAAGCUUUAUGAAAACAAAAUUUCUUGAGAAAAAAAUAGUUGGCACAACUGUGAAACGUUCUAUCUGAGAGCCAAAGAGGAUG
This is a non-coding RNA of Parasteatoda tepidariorum (common house spider), 480 nucleotides long. The record is from RefSeq and is a predicted model, not a curated record. Lineage: Eukaryota; Metazoa; Arthropoda; Arachnida; Araneae; Theridiidae.